AUGUUUCCGUUCAAGUUUAAGAGGAAGCAAUUUCCUAUAAGGCUUAGCUUUGCUAUGACCAUUAACAAGGCUCAAGGGCAGACAAUCCCGAUUGUUGGUGUCUACCUACCCAAUCCCGUGUUCUCUCAUGGUCAACUCUAUGUUGCUUUGUCUCGAGCCACCGUAAAGAGAAACAUAAAGAUACUCAUUCAGAAGGAGAAGCCGAAGGAGAAGUCCAACAAGCAAAAGGACAAUCCAAAGAAGCGAAAAAGACCAACCGUGUCAUUACUAACCUCGAUGAAGAACAUCGUCUACAAGGAAGUCCUUACAGGCUGA
RNAcentral lists this ribosomal RNA (315 nucleotides) under Triticum aestivum (bread wheat). RNAcentral's name for it is "partial small subunit ribosomal RNA". Lineage: Eukaryota; Viridiplantae; Streptophyta; Magnoliopsida; Poales; Poaceae. The record is from RNAcentral.